This is a long non-coding RNA of Vidua chalybeata, 345 nucleotides long. RefSeq lists it as uncharacterized. The transcript has 2 exons. NCBI's taxonomy places the organism in Eukaryota, Metazoa, Chordata, Aves, Passeriformes, Viduidae. The record is from RefSeq and is a predicted model, not a curated record.
AAUAUAGACACGAAACCCUGGUUUCUUUGGAAAGCAGAGAAUGUCUCCCCUCCAGAAGCUUUGUGCUUCAAUCUGUCGGUGCACAACAGCAGAAAGUCACUGCGGAUCUCCCCUUGCCUUAGCUGUGGUAGGAAACUUCCCUUUCACAAUCAGGGAUAGAGCUCUGCCCCUGGCUGCCCAAAUUCAAGCUAACCAGCCUCUUGCCUACAGCACAAGAACUAUGUCUGCUUGGAGUUUGCAUCAGCAGAGUGGCUGAGACCAACUCAAAUGCACAGAAGCUGAUUGAUGAAGCAUGAUGCAUCCCUUAAUUAAGCAGAAGCUACUAAUAAAAAUGAACUUACUGGA